Dioscorea cayenensis subsp. rotundata (Guinea yam) is the source of this 852-nucleotide long non-coding RNA. RefSeq lists it as uncharacterized. The record is from RefSeq and is a predicted model, not a curated record. NCBI's taxonomy places the organism in Eukaryota, Viridiplantae, Streptophyta, Magnoliopsida, Dioscoreales, Dioscoreaceae. The transcript is spliced from 5 exons.
UAGCUCUCUCCCUCUCUCAAUCACUGGCCGAAGGUGGAGUGUGAGAGGCCUCAAAUUGAAGGCCAGCGGUGGACUAUACAAAUCACUCCCAAACAAUCACUCAGCGCAGAAUUCCAGAUUAUUUGCCAUGCCUUUGUGAUAAAGUUGUGGCAUGCUGCUGAUGCUGCAAUUGGUUUUUUUUUCUUCAUUUCAGAUGUAGAAACAGGAUACUACCCUUGGGAUCCUUGGCCUGAUUACAGGACUCAAAGGUGUUAAAGUAGAGAAAGCUAAAGUUUAUGGUAAUUCUGUGAGGCCAAGGUUGGCACAACAAUUGAAAGAAAUUUUCGCAAGAGUUCCAUUCUCAGACCCUACCAUUCCCAUUGUCAGCAAUCUUGAAGCAACUGAGCUGAGCAUCGAUGACAUUAACAAUGAUGACACUUUGCCUGCAACAUCCGCCUUCAUCUGUAAUAAAUAAGAAUAAAACAAGAGAUGAGGAAUGAAGAAAGAAAAAUUGUUUCAGGGAGGAUCAACUGACACAAAACCUAUGUGAGAAGUGAGAACAACUCAAGAAAGUAGUUAGGAGAAAAAUGUUCAGUUCAGGGCGAGAAGAAAUAUCUUCUGUACCCGGCACCUCUCAGCCUCAUAGAGACUCUAAUAUCGUUAAUUACACCAACAGACCAAGCCUCCCCCCAAACUUGACUUGCAAGUUUCCCCGCAAAAAGCUCUCCACGUCUACUCUUAGAUAACCUAAUAUCGAUUUAAUGGGGUAGAGGUUUACAUCAGUGUUUUAUUUCCAAUUUGAUUUUUCUUCCUUUUCUUAAGCAUUAGUUAUGUUCAAUUUGAUCCUUUUGUUUUCUGACUAACUCUAUACCA